CUGCUUCUACUUUCUGUAUGGAACUGGGAGCGUCUGCCUGUUGGACGCCCGAAGAGCGUCAGGUUUAAUCCUUGGGAUGAAGAUGAACAUGACGAAUUACGGCGCCCCACUUGGGCUUACAAGUGGGAUGUGGUUUCCGAGAUGACGAACUAUGUCAAUCUCAUGUACCAAAAGUACAUUGCCGAGUUGGACACGAUUACGCAUGAGCAGGUAACGAGGACAUUAUUUCAGUUAUUUCUCAUGUUUGCCUGA
Molecule: ribosomal RNA, 252 nt
Filed under: Triticum aestivum (bread wheat)
Lineage: Eukaryota; Viridiplantae; Streptophyta; Magnoliopsida; Poales; Poaceae
Description: partial small subunit ribosomal RNA
Source: RNAcentral